GACGAACGCUGGCGGCGGGCUUAACACAUGCAAGUCGAACGGAAAGGCCCUGCGUGUGUGGGGUUCUCGAUUGGCGAACGGGGGAGUAACACGUAAGUAACCGGCCCUUGACUUUGGGAUAACUUCAGGAAACUGGGGCUAAUAUAGGAUAGGAUCCCCCGCUGCAUGGUGGGGGUUGGAAAGUUUCGGCUGUUGGGGAUGGACGCGCGGCUUAUCAGCUUGUUGGUGGGGUAGUGGCUUACCAAGGCUUUGACGGGUAGCCGGCCUGAGAGGGUGACCGGCCUCCUUGGGCCUGAGAUACGGCCCAGACUCCUACGGGAGGCAGCAGUGGGGAAUAUUGCACAAUGGGAGGACGCCUGAUGCAGCAACGCCGCGGGCGGGAUGCCGGCCUUCGGGUUGUAAACCGCUUUAGCCUGAGACGAAGCGUGAGUGACGGUACUGGGUAAAGAAGCACCGGCUAACUACGUG
This 468-nucleotide ribosomal RNA is filed under the name uncultured bacterium. RNAcentral's name for it is "partial 16S ribosomal RNA". It matches the Rfam family "Bacterial small subunit ribosomal RNA", at positions 28 to 507 of the family's 1533-position model. The record is from RNAcentral.